UGUAUACUAUCCUGGUGACCUAAUACAAUCAUGUAUGAAAUUCAAAAGGAUUGUAGUUUUAUUUUGAAAAUAAGAUAAUUCAACCACAUAGUAAGAUCUCUAGUAAGCCAAUGCAUCAAAACAAUCUCAAAUUAAUGAAUAGAACUUCACUCAAACAUUUCACCAAACACCUAAAUAGCAUAAGUCAAAAUAGGAGUCUUCCAAAUAAGAGUCUUUUAAAUGCUUUUGUUCAUGGGCGCUUGGUAAGGGUUUCAGUUUGCUACCCCAAGUGAGAUUUUCAUUUUUAUAAUAAGGAAAUAGUUCAAAUUUCUGCUGACUAUUGUCUAUAUGAGCAACGAAAUAGCACAAUCAUCUGUUAGUAUAUUUUUAAUUCUUCAUAGCUUAUUGGUAGAAGUAAAUUUAUGCACAUUUGUGAAUUCAGUCACUUGCAAUGAAUUUUCAUACGAGUACGGGACCUUUUUGGCUAUUGUUGUUUGUGCAAAUCUUGUAUUCCUGGCUAUUGAAGCGAAUAUGAUACUAAAUCUUAUAUCUUUUGAAUUCACAGAUCUAAUGUUUUAGUCUUGCAUUAACCAUUUUGCAAAUGUUUCCAUCCACUGGCAUGUUUAUGUGUAUUAUGAUAAUUUAGAGACGGUGGCCCAUAUUAUAUUGAUCUCGUUGAAUUCAAUGGUCAUGUUUGUUACACUUUUAUGUCGGAUUGGUGUAGACCAACUCAUGAAUGAUGCACUUGCAUAAUUUGUUUGAGAAUUGGUCACAUACAGUCACAACUUGUGGUAUUGUAUGAUCUUUUCUGCCAAGUUGACACAUGUGCAGGGCAUGAAAAUGGUAGGCCCAGCCAUGAGGAUUAUGAUUCUAGAAAAUCAGGUUGAUAUGCUGACUAGGUUAGCAUAUAUACAUGAUUGUCUACAAAUUACUGGGUUUCAAGCACUCUCUCUCUAUAUAUAUAUAUAUAUAUAAUUUAGAAGGUCUGCAUGUCUUUAUGACAAAGCUAUGCUGAUGAUGAUUAUUAUUAUCUUUAGCUAAUGGCUACUCUGCUGAGUUCUUAAAUACAGGAUUCAGUGCGCGUGCUUGACUAUAACAACUGUAUUUUGCUUCAUUUGCUAUCACAUUGAUGGCUCUAUCAUAUCUGAUGAUACAAGAAAGUGAAUCCUAUUGGCAUUCAGAAUCCUAAGUGGCAGCAUGAAAUCUUCUAGUAAACCUCAAAAAUUCAUAAAACAAAUCUAUGGGUCUUAAAUUUUCUGUUGUUCUGCCAUUGUACGUGGUAAACCAUCUUCUUUCUACUUUUCUGUUUGCUAUUUUACCUUUUUAUUAUGGAAUUUUACUAAAUUAAAAUAUCUUUCUAGCUACGCAAAAUCUGAAAUUCAGUUCCAAUUUUACUUGGGUUUCCCCCUAGUUAAUGGAAGUUGCAACAUCAUAAGACUAUAUUCAUAAGAGGAUUGCAAGUAUGAGCAUUAUGCAAAGACAUUGAUGGCUAAGUUGUUGAUUGUGGCUGAAAAAAUCCAACAGGUAGUUGGAAUCACGGGCUUGAUUCUGACAAAGCUUGAUGGUUCUGCUUGAGGUGGCUGUGUGGUGAGUGUGGUGGAUGAACUUGGCAUUCCUGUAAAGUUUGUGGGCAUUGGGGAAAGGGUGGAUGACCUUCAGCCAUUUGAUGCAGAGGUCUUUGUUGAUGCCAUUUUCUCCUGAAAAUUGAAGAGAAUGUUCACAUGAACUCUUGAAACAUGCAGGAAGCAGCUGCAUGCAAUUCUAUUCAAGUGAGGAGCCCUGAGCCUUGGGGCUUUUUCAGUGGGGUACAUUGGACUUAGAUUGAAAAAAUAGAGAAAAAAACCUUUUAAAUCACUUUUAAGAUGGCCCUCAUUAGCUGAGAUUCUUUGACAUUAACAGAGCUUGUGUAGGAGAACUACAUCUCACAUGGAGAAACAGGUACUAAAAAGUAGACUAAACAAGUAAUGACUUUUGCUGUCACCUUUUCCAAUUUGGCAGCUACCUUAACUGUUGGCAUCUACCAGAAAAUCAUUGUUUACUUUUUGUCAUAGCUAGACUAGAAGAAAAGCUCUUGGACAUGGUUAGUUCCAUAAAGAAGGAAUAUGAUAAAGCCCAAUCUGAGCUCAAUUUGAGUCGUUCAAAGAUGAAAGAAUGUGACGCUGAGAUCAGUGCCAUUCUCAAGGAGCAACAGAAGCUUCAACAUAAAAUUAGUGAUGCAAAUGUUGAGAGGAAAAAUUGGAAAAUGAGGUACUUGCAGUGGUUAUUUUGUUCCUAUUUUAUUUAACUUGCUUGAUCUAUGAAAUUGUGUAUGUGUUCUUGAUAGAAACCCACUCUUUCCUAUUCACACAGAUUAAGCGAAUGGAGAUGGAACAGAAAGAUUACUCCCUGAAGGUAGAUAAACUACUAGAAAGUCAUAGUUGGAUUGCACUGAGAAACAAUUAUUUGGAAAAAGUGGGACAGAUUAUGACUUCUCAUCUUGUGAUCCUCAUAAAUCAAGGGAGGAGCUUGAGAAACUUCAAUCUGAACA
Molecule: long non-coding RNA, 2506 nt
Organism: Magnolia sinica
Lineage: Eukaryota; Viridiplantae; Streptophyta; Magnoliopsida; Magnoliales; Magnoliaceae
Exons: 4
Source: RefSeq, a predicted model, not a curated record